GCCUGGGGAGUACGGUCGCAAGAUUAAAACUCAAAGGAAUUGACGGGGACCCGCACAAGCGGUGGAUGAUGUGGAUUAAUUCGAUGCAACGCGAAAAACCUUACCUACCCUUGACAUGUCUGGAAUGCCGAAGAGAUUUGGCAGUGCUCGCAAGAGAACCAGAACACAGGUGCUGCAUGGCUGUCGUCAGCUCGUGUCGUGAGAUGUUGGGUUAAGUCCCGCAACGAGCGCAACCCUUGUCAUUAGUUGCUACGCAAGAGCACUCUAAUGAGACUGCCGGUGACAAACCGGAGGAAGGUGGGGAUGACGUCAAGUCCUCAUGGCCCUUAUGGGUAGGGCUUCACACGUCAUACAAUGGUCGGGACAGAGGGUCGCCAACCCGCGAGGGGGAGCCAAUCUCAGAAACCCGAUCGUAGUCCGGAUCGCAGUCUGCAACUCGACUGCGUGAAGUCGGAAUCGCUAGUAAUCGCGGAUCAGAAUGUCGCGGUGAAUACGUUCCCGGGUCUUGUACACACCGCCCGUCACACCAUGGGAGUGGGUUUCACCAGAAGUAGGUAGCCUAACCGCAAGGAGGGCGC
RNAcentral lists this ribosomal RNA (578 nucleotides) under uncultured bacterium. RNAcentral's name for it is "bacterial SSU rRNA". It matches the Rfam family "Bacterial small subunit ribosomal RNA", at positions 871 to 1453 of the family's 1533-position model. The record is from RNAcentral.